This 462-nucleotide ribosomal RNA is filed under the name uncultured bacterium. RNAcentral's name for it is "partial 16S ribosomal RNA". It matches the Rfam family "Bacterial small subunit ribosomal RNA", at positions 28 to 507 of the family's 1533-position model. The record is from RNAcentral.
GACGAACGCUGGCGGCGUGCUUAACACAUGCAAGUCGAGCGGUAAGGCCUUUCGGGGUACACGAGCGGCGAACGGGUGGGUAACCCGUGGGUUAUCUGCCCUGCACUUCGGGAUAAGCCUGGCGAACUGGGUCUAAUACAGGCUAUGACUUCCUCUCGCAAAGUUGGUUGUGGACAUAUUUAUCGGUUUAGGAUUGGCCCGCGGCCUAUCAGCUUGUUGGUGGGGUAAUGGAAUAUCAAGGCGACGACGGCUGGCCGACCUGGGAGGGUGACCUGCCACAGUGGGACUGAGGCAGGGCCCAGACGGCUACGUGGGGCAGCGGCGGAAGAUAGUGCACAAUGGGCGGAGGGCGGGUGCAGCGAUGCCGGGUGAGAGAUGACGGUCUUCGGGGGGGAAACCGCGUUCAGCUGGGACGUAGCGCAAGUGACGGUACCUUCAGAAGAAGCACCGGCUAACUACGUG